Molecule: ribosomal RNA, 500 nt
Filed under: uncultured bacterium
Lineage: Bacteria
Description: partial 16S ribosomal RNA
Rfam family: Bacterial small subunit ribosomal RNA
Source: RNAcentral
AUUGAACGCUGGCGGCAUGCUUUACACAUGCAAGUCGAACGGCAGCACGGGGGCAACCCUGGUGGCGAGUGGCGAACGGGUGAGUAAUGCAUCGGAACGUGCCCUGUCGUGGGGGAUAACACAUCGAAAGAUGUGCUAAUACCGCAUACGACCUGAGGGUGAAAGCGGGGGACCGUACGGCCUCGCGCGAUAGGAGCGGCCGAUGUCUGAUUAGCUAGUUGGUGGGGUAAAGGCCUACCAAGGCGACGAUCAGUAGCUGGUCUGAGAGGACGACCAGCCACACUGGGACUGAGACACGGCCCAGACUCCUACGGGAGGCAGCAGUGGGGAACUUUGGACAAUGGGGGCAACCCUGAUCCAGCCAUGCCGCGUGCGGGAAGAAGGCCUUCGGGUUGUAAACCGCUUUUGGCAGGAACGAAACGGUGCGGGCGAAUACCCUGUGCUAAUGACGGUACCUGCAGAAUAAGCACCGGCUAACUACGUGCCAGCCGCCGCCGUAA